This 177-nucleotide unclassified non-coding RNA is filed under the name Cladophialophora immunda. RNAcentral describes it as "partial internal transcribed spacer 2". Lineage: Eukaryota; Fungi; Ascomycota; Eurotiomycetes; Chaetothyriales; Herpotrichiellaceae. The record is from RNAcentral. RNAcentral also lists the same sequence under 1 other name.
UCACCCCCUCAAGCCCCGUGCUUGGUGUUGGACGGUUUGGUAGGGCGCCUACCCCUCCUAAAGACAAUGACGGCGGCCUCGUGGAACCCCCGGUACACUGAGCUUCUUAACUGAGCACGUAUCGGAUCAAGGGCGCCCGGGGCACGGUCUUCUCCCCCUUCAGGGAAAUUUUCUCAA